UACAGAGGUCCCAAGCGUUGUUCGGAAUCACUGGGCGUAAAGCGCACGUAGGCGGAUGUGUCAGUCAGGGGUGAAAUCCCGGGGCUCAACCUCGGAACUGCCUUUGAUACAGCACGUCUCGAGUCCGGAAGAGGUGGGUGGAAUUCCUAGUGUAGAGGUGAAAUUCGUAGAUAUUAGGAAGAACACCGGUGGCGAAGGCGGCCCACUGGUCCGGUACUGACGCUGAGGUGCGAAAGCGUGGGGAGCAAACAGG
RNAcentral lists this ribosomal RNA (253 nucleotides) under uncultured bacterium. RNAcentral's name for it is "partial 16S ribosomal RNA". It matches the Rfam family "Bacterial small subunit ribosomal RNA", at positions 524 to 776 of the family's 1533-position model. The record is from RNAcentral.